AUCAUUGUAUGUAGUAAUGUGUUGUUGUUCCCCAGGUGGCUGAAGGCCAGGAGAUCUGUGUGAUCGAGGCCAUGAAGAUGCAGAACAGUUUGAUUGCUGUUAAAGCUGCCAAGGUGAAGAGUGUCCACUGUAAAGCAGGAGAGACGGUUGGAGAGGGAGACCUUCUGGUCCAACUGGAGUAGCAUCUAACCUCCGACCUCUAACCUCUGCCCUCCCACCUCUGACCUCGCUCGCCAGGGAUUGGCUUCGAAGUCCGGUUGAAGGAAUUCUGGGACAAAGGAAUGAACAGGAUACUUGUAGACUAGAUGGACCGUUCCCCAGUCUGUCCUUGUUGUUUUGUUCUGGUGUUUUGGUCUUCCUGUGGUACUAGUAGGCUACACUCUCCAGUAUUGGCUUCUGGGAUUCGCUCGUUCUAGGAAUUUUCCACGCAAAAACURAAAAACAAGAUGGACGCUGUGGACCUGUUUUAGUGCCUUCAGCCUCUGAAAGGAGGAUUGUCCUGUUAAAUAUGACGAAUACUGUAUAUAUCACUUAGCUACAUGUCACUAAUCAUGUGUAAUGUACUUCCUCGCUAGCCUGGUCUCAGAUCUGUUUGUGCCAUCUUGCCAGGACAUCUGGGACCAGGCUAGCGCCUCACAUUUCAAUGUAAUGAAACACUUGUGUAUCAGAGGUUAGGAACCUGGUUAUAGUAAAAGGCUACUCCCUUGGGUGGAGUUGCGUUUGUCCUUUUUAAAGGACGUCUCUCAACCCCUUUGACAUUGUAAAGAAAUAAUGCAUUCAGGUGAGACGUUGUGGAUGAGGGGACAUGCUCAUGAAUAUUCAUUUUGGGGGCGGGUAAAUGUAGUUGUACCUGAUACCCAACACUCUCUCACUGAAGUAUACUUACCAGAAGUCCACUGGCACGCUCUGAUAAUAACAUGAUGUGCAUCGCGAGCAAAUACGGCUCUGGAAAGUUAGCUCACAGUUAUGUGCUGACUUCCUGACAUCUAUUGCCACCUGCAGUGUAAGUUCAAAUCCCUUAUGGGGGGGGGGUUUGAAAUGUGGACUCAUAUUUACUGCGGUAUUGUUGUUGGGAGGAAAGUGAAAUCAUCACCUUGUAAAUGAAGGAGCUCAACUCAAUCCAACCCGUGCCAGUGUUUACGCACUAUCUUCUUCUUUCCAAUGGUCAAAUGAACUCACAGACUGGUCUUGGGUACUGAGUAUGAAAACCUACAACUACUACCGGGCGACCCCUCUCACAGGUAUCUUUCACUUUUCACAAUUACAAGUGUGUUGUGUGUGGUCACGGGAUGAAUAUAGGAAAUAAAGGAUUUGAAGAACAAA
Molecule: long non-coding RNA, 1323 nt
Organism: Salvelinus sp. IW2-2015
Lineage: Eukaryota; Metazoa; Chordata; Actinopteri; Salmoniformes; Salmonidae
Source: RefSeq, a predicted model, not a curated record